AGGGGUAACAGGAAGUGCUUGCACUUCGCUGACGACCGGCGCACGGGUGAGUACCGCGUAUACAAUCUGCUUCAUACUAGGGGAUAGCCCGAAGAAAUUUGGAUUAAUACCCUAUAGUAUCUUUUUAAGGCAUCUUAUUAAGAUUAAAGGUUACGGUAUGAGAUGAGUAUGCGUUCUAUUAGCUAGUAGGUGUGGUAACGGCACACCUAGGCUACGAUAGAUAGGGGCCCUGAGAGGGGGAUCCCCCACACUGGUACUGAGACACGGACCAGACUCCUACGGGAGGCAGCAGUGAGGAAUAUUGGACAAUGGGCGAAAGCCUGAUCCAGCCAUGCCGCGUGCAGGAUGACUGCCCUAUGGGUUGUAAACUGCUUUUAUAUAGGAAGAAAAACUUUCUCGUGAGAAAGCUUGACGGUACUAUAAGAAUAAGGAUCGGCUAACUCCGUGCCAGCAGCCGCGGUAAUACGGAGGAUCCAAGCGUUAUCCGGAAUCAUUGGGUUUAAAGGGUCCGUAGGUGGACAAAUAAGUCAGAGGUGAAAUCCUGCAGCUCAACUGUAGAACUGCCUUUGAUACUGUUUGUCUUGAGUUAUUAUGAAGUGGUUAGAAUGUGUAGUGUAGCGGUGAAAUGCAUAGAUAUUACACAGAAUACCGAUUGCGAAGGCAGAUCACUAAUAAUUAACUGACACUGAGGGACGAAAGCGUGGGUAGCGAACAGGAUUAGAUACCCUGGUAGUCCACGCCGUAAACGAUGGUCACUAGCUGUUUGGACUUCGGUCUGAGUGGCUAAGCGAAAGUGAUAAGUGACCCACCU
Molecule: ribosomal RNA, 811 nt
Filed under: uncultured marine bacterium
Lineage: Bacteria
Description: bacterial SSU rRNA
Rfam family: Bacterial small subunit ribosomal RNA
Source: RNAcentral